AGUGAACGCUGGCGGCAGGCCUAACACAUGCAAGUCGAACGGCAGCACAGUAAGAGCUUGCUCUUACGGGUGGAGAGUGGCGGACGGGUGAGGAAUACAUCGGAACCUACUUUUUAGUGGGGGAUAACGUAGGGAAAUUUACGCUAAUACCGCAUACGACCUACGGGUGAAAGCAGGGGAUCUUCGGACCUUGCGCGAUUGAAUGAGCCGAUGUCGGAUUAGCUAGUUGGCGGGGUAAAGGCCCACCAAGGCGACGAUCCGUAGCUGGUCUGAGAGGAUGAUCAGCCACACUGGAACUGAGACACGGCCCAGACUCCUACGGGAGGCAGCAGUGGGGAAUAUUGGACAAUGGGCGCAAGCCUGAUCCAGCCAUACCGCGUGGAUGAAGAAGGCCUUCGGGUUGUAAAGCCCUUUUGUCGGGAAAGAAAAGCAUCAGUUUAAUACCCCGCUGUUCUGACGGUACCCAAAGAAUAAGCACCGGCUAACUUCGUG
This 492-nucleotide ribosomal RNA is filed under the name uncultured bacterium. Its description in RNAcentral is "partial 16S ribosomal RNA". It matches the Rfam family "Bacterial small subunit ribosomal RNA", at positions 29 to 507 of the family's 1533-position model. The record is from RNAcentral.